This 813-nucleotide ribosomal RNA is filed under the name Streptomyces sp. KestL1N. RNAcentral describes it as "bacterial SSU rRNA". It matches the Rfam family "Bacterial small subunit ribosomal RNA", at positions 97 to 922 of the family's 1533-position model. Lineage: Bacteria; Bacillati; Actinomycetota; Actinomycetes; Kitasatosporales; Streptomycetaceae. The record is from RNAcentral.
GGCGAACGGGUGAGUAACACGUGGGCAAUCUGCCCUUCACUCUGGGACAAGCCCUGGAAACGGGGUCUAAUACCGGAUAACACUCUGUCCCGCAUGGGACGGGGUUAAAAGCUCCGGCGGUGAAGGAUGAGCCCGCGGCCUAUCAGCUUGUUGGUGGGGUGAUGGCCUACCAAGGCGACGACGGGUAGCCGGCCUGAGAGGGCGACCGGCCACACUGGGACUGAGACACGGCCCAGACUCCUACGGGAGGCAGCAGUGGGGAAUAUUGCACAAUGGGCGAAAGCCUGAUGCAGCGACGCCGCGUGAGGGAUGACGGCCUUCGGGUUGUAAACCUCUUUCAGCAGGGAAGAAGCGAGAGUGACGGUACCUGCAGAAGAAGCGCCGGCUAACUACGUGCCAGCAGCCGCGGUAAUACGUAGGGCGCAAGCGUUGUCCGGAAUUAUUGGGCGUAAAGAGCUCGUAGGCGGCUUGUUGCGUCGGUUGUGAAAGCCCGGGGCUUAACCCCGGGUCUGCAGUCGAUACGGGCAGGCUAGAGUGUGGUAGGGGAGAUCGGAAUUCCUGGUGUAGCGGUGAAAUGCGCAGAUAUCAGGAGGAACACCGGUGGCGAAGGCGGAUCUCUGGGCCAUUACUGACGCUGAGGAGCGAAAGCGUGGGGAGCGAACAGGAUUAGAUACCCUGGUAGUCCACGCCGUAAACGUUGGGAACUAGGUGUUGGCGACAUUCCACGUCGUCGGUGCCGCAGCUAACGCAUUAAGUUCCCCGCCUGGGGAGUACGGCCGCAAGGCUAAAACUCAAAGGAAUUGACGGGGGCCC